GUCAGGAUAGCUCAGUGUAGAGUCAGAAGUCGG
RNAcentral lists this transfer RNA (33 nucleotides) under Deyeuxia arundinacea var. laxiflora. Its description in RNAcentral is "partial tRNA-Phe". Lineage: Eukaryota; Viridiplantae; Streptophyta; Magnoliopsida; Poales; Poaceae. The record is from RNAcentral.